This 77-nucleotide transfer RNA is filed under the name Pyrinomonadaceae bacterium. RNAcentral's name for it is "tRNA-Arg". It matches the Rfam family "tRNA". Rfam says of the family: Transfer RNA (tRNA) molecules are approximately 80 nucleotides in length. Their secondary structure includes four short double-helical elements and three loops (D, anti-codon, and T loops). Further hydrogen bonds mediate the characteristic L-shaped molecular structure. tRNAs have two regions of fundamental functional importance: the anti-codon, which is responsible for specific mRNA codon recognition, and the 3' end, to which the tRNAs corresponding amino acid is attached (by aminoacyl-tRNA synthetases). tRNAs cope with the degeneracy of the genetic code in two manners: having more than one tRNA (with a specific anti-codon) for a particular amino acid; and 'wobble' base-pairing, i.e. permitting non-standard base-pairing at the 3rd anti-codon position. Lineage: Bacteria; Pseudomonadati; Acidobacteriota; Blastocatellia; Blastocatellales; Pyrinomonadaceae. The record is from RNAcentral.
GCGCCCGUAGCUCAGUUGGAUAGAGCGUUGGUCUACGAAACCAAAGGUCGCAUGUUCGAGUCAUGCCGGGCGCACCA